This is a long non-coding RNA of Biomphalaria glabrata, 2915 nucleotides long. RefSeq lists it as uncharacterized. The record is from RefSeq and is a predicted model, not a curated record. The transcript is spliced from 6 exons. NCBI's taxonomy places the organism in Eukaryota, Metazoa, Mollusca, Gastropoda, Planorbidae.
GCAAUAAACUUUUGAUUAUAUCAUAGAUUAGAUUUGAGUGAAAAUUUUCUGAAGUUCUGUGAUUAAUAGAUCUAGCCUCUUCUAGAUCUAUUUAACUAUUUAAAAUCCGCGAAACGGGAUUGUAAUAUUUCUAAACUUUAAAGACUAAAGAUCUUUUUUUUUUUCUGAGAAUGAAGACCGAUUUCCAAGAUCGAACCACAACUGGUUGGGAAUAGGGUCCGCCUUCCAAGAUUUAGAAAUUAGAUCUAUAGAUAUAGAUAGAAUAGAUCUAGAUGAUAUUACUAUUACUAGAGUCUAGAUCUAUAUAUCACAAGCUUAAUAGGAAAGCCUUGAUGCUGAAACCAAGAAGCACCAGCAUACCACAUGCUGGCUAAAUCAACUAAAUGAUCUUGCCAUUGGCAAUGAGAUGUGAAACUAGAUCUAGAUCUAUGAAAUUAAAAAAAUGUACAAUGUGAAUAAGCAUUUGUAGCAUGUGCAGGGGCGGACUGGCUAUAUGGGCAUUCGGGCAAAUGCCCAGUGGGCCGGUAUCCAAAUGGGCUGCUAGGACUACAAAGUAAUAAUUGGAUGGCUGCCUGGUCGUGAGGUUUGCGCGUUGGACUGUCGUUCGGAUUUAUCGAUGGUCGAGGGUUCAAAUCCUGCCCGCUCCCAUCCCCCGUCGUCCUGCAGGAGGUUUGGACUAGGAAGUAAACUAUCUUCAACUCUGAAGGAACAUCCGAAACAUGAUGUUUCAGUCAUGAUUGCCUUUAUAUGUGGACAAAUAAGCCUAUACAGUAUUUCCAAGAAUGAGAACUUUGCAGGGUAGAGUCAUUUGACUUACAAGCCUCUUAGAGACCACUGGGACAUUGUUCUGGGCUGCCUUUGGUAUUGGGAACUCUCAGGCACCAGCUAUUAAAGAAGAAACAAAUAGCAGUCAGGUUAAUGGUGACUCAGAGAUAACAGACAGCUGCCGGAAGUCAUUGAGGUGGUUGGCUACGUUUUGUAUGGAGUUUACAUUCUUGAUGCUGUCGUGGUCCUGAUCAACUUGUUCAUUGCUAUGAUGAAUUUGAAGACAUUUAGAAUGCCCAAAAGAUUAGUCAGCUAAGGAGCCUAAAAUGUUAGCCUGUUUACAAAUAUGAGAUCUUCCUUGACUACACAAGUACCUUACAGAAGAAGGCUACUCACUUGUGUUUGGAUAUGUCAGCUGUUUUGUCCCUGUGGCCCUUUUCAAGCAUGACAGAUACUAUUCUAAGCAGCUUUUUUCUCUGGAAAUUAUUCAACCACAGAAGCUGUGAGGGAUAUCUGAAAUCCAUUGCUUACUUGUCUAGAAAGACUUCCAUCGAUUGAGUGAUAAAAGAUUAAGCAUACACAACUUUUAGUAGUCACCACAUAACACUUAACAUUUUGAUGCUCAAGACAAUACUGUUCAUGAAUGGUUUAUUUUUCUUUAUGCUGAGAGUGUCCAAGAAGGAUAAGGUCAAAGGUUAAUUGGACAAACAAGUUAAUAAACUUUGUCUUUGAAUCUGAAAUUGUAGAACUUGUAGAGAAAAAAAAACAACUAAGUGUUUUUUAUUUUAAUUUACCAGGCACCAAGUACCUACUAUUCAUUUACUUUGACUGUUGACUUUAAGUUAGAAAUUAAGGAAAGAUUUCUUUGAGCUAUAUUUGUCAAUGACCAUAGGCAUUAAGAGAGUUGACACCUCAUUUUACUUUUCAACAAGAUGAUGAUGUCUUAAAGAAAUUAAGAGCUUUUGAUGGAAUUCUGUGGUUGAAUAACAAAAGGAAUAAUCACAGGAUUCCAUCAAAAUCAUUGCAAUUUGAACAUUGUUGGUAGUGUCAAUGUUAUUAAGUUUACAUAAAGUAUUUAAGUAUAGUUCUUGGUGUUUUUACAUUAUUCAUUUUCUAGUGACCAGGCAGUGUUUUAUACCAUGAAUGAAUAUCUGUUGUAAGAGAUUUAAGGUAUACAACUCCAUUAAUAAUAUCUUUGACAAUAAAAUAUUUUGAUCAAGUUUAUAUUUUUGGAACAGAAUAUGCUAAUGUGUUAACUGCACAUUUUUCUUUUUUUUUUUGAAUAACAACUGAUAUUUAGUUUUAUCCCUUUGUAUCUUUCUACAGUAGAUGCACUGUCAUACUAAAUAGAAAUUUUAAAAAAUUAUAAUUUCUAAUCAAAUUGUCUCCCUUUUAAAAUCAAAUAUCUAAAUGAAUCAUGCUACUUUGAUUCUACACAAUCUACAGGACUACCAAUGUACAUUAGUUUCGAACAAAAAGUUGCUAACUUUAAAUAAUUGAUUAACACAUUUUGAUAUUUAUGUAUACCUUGUAAUAAAAGUGGCAUUCAUUUUACAAUUUCAUUUUUUUUUUAUUGUAACUGGUCUGUGUUAAUUUCUUUUUUUUUUCAAAUUACUUUGUAUUGCCAAUAUGGGGAAAUGGUAUUUCUGGUGUUUCUUUGCUCAGCAAAAACAAGUCAGGAUUUGAACUCAAGCCCCCUUGACAGUGGUUUAUGCCAGAUAUCCAGCAUUUCAUGUAGUUUGUAGGCCAAAUUUGAUACUCACAGUGCCCCAGUGCAGGUAGAAAGAGGAAACCUUGCCUCAUUAAUGUUUGCUGCUCCAGACUUGCUGCUCUCUAUCUCAACUGAUCUAGGAAGCACUACAGCUGGGUUUCAGUCCACUGCAUUGGCUAGAGAGGAUUUCAGUCUCUCAGGCUGCAACUUAAAUGAAGUCUGAUGUGAUUUUAUUUAUAAAAAGUUGUAUGGAUGUCUUUAAGCUACAUAACUUAUCCUAGUCCAAUGUGUUGAUUGACAUAGUUACCAGGUACUGGUACUAAAAAAAUUGCCGCUUUUAUCCUCCCCUUCCAGCAACCCUUAGAUCUAGUUUUUCUAAAUUUCUAGUAGUUUAAUAGUGCUUUUCCAUAUGUCAUUAAAAAGUUAUGUUAAAAGUUAA